CUAAAGAAAAAAAAGAAAUGUAAAACAUUUUUUUUUAAGUCGAAAUAUUAUGUUGUGUUAUUUAUUUAGUUUUAUAAGUAUUAGUCACUGUGUUCGUUUUGAUUGUGUAGUGCAGGUUGUCUUAUUUAUUGUUAGCACUUUUGGACUAAUUUAAAAUCUUUGUUUUUGCUCAUUUUUAUAAAUUUAAGUUUUAAUUUUUAUAAAUUAGUCUCAAAUAUUCAACACCUUAUAAUAUUUCAGAAAUUACAUUUAUAUUUUUAAGUAAGGAGUAGCAUCGAUCUUUCAAAAUAUACACAUUUUUUGUAAUUUUUAAUGUUAUUUUUAGUUAAAAAAAUAUUUCAUUAUAAUUACAAAGUCAUCUAGUCUUAUGCUAUUUUAUAUGUAUGUAUCUUUUAUCAAUAAGUAGGUAUAAUUUAUAUGUAUGCCUAUUUAGAGUACGUUUAUACAAAAUAUCGAACGAUUGUUGAUACAUUAAUUUUAUCUAUAGAAAUAUUUUAAAUAUUAGUAAUAAACGAAUUUUUUGGUCCU
Molecule: long non-coding RNA, 528 nt
Organism: Melitaea cinxia (Glanville fritillary)
Lineage: Eukaryota; Metazoa; Arthropoda; Insecta; Lepidoptera; Nymphalidae
Exons: 2
Source: RefSeq, a predicted model, not a curated record